Molecule: ribosomal RNA, 460 nt
Filed under: uncultured bacterium
Lineage: Bacteria
Description: partial 16S ribosomal RNA
Rfam family: Bacterial small subunit ribosomal RNA
Source: RNAcentral
CCUACGGGAGACAGCAGUGAGGAAUAUUGGUCAAUGGACGCAAGUCUGAACCAGCCAUGCCGCGUGCAGGAAGACGGCCCUAUGAGUUGUAAACUGCUUUUGUACGAGGGUAAACUCAGAUACGCGUAUCUUUCUGAAAGUAUCGUACGAAUAAGGAUUGGCUAACUCCAUGCCAGCAGCCGCGGUAAUACGGAGGAUUCGAGCGUUAUCCGGAUUUAUUGGGUUUAAAGGGUGCGUAGGCGGGCGGAUAAGUUAGUUGUGAAAGCCCGCGGCUCAACUGCGGAAUUGCCAUUGAUACUGGUAGGCUAGAGAGUAGUUGAGGUAGGCGGAAUGUAUGGUGUAGCGGUGAAAUGCUUAGAGAUCACACAGAACACCGAUUGCGAAGGCAGCUUACCAAGCUACGUCUGACGUUGAGGCACGAAAGCGUGGGGAGCAAACAGGAUUAGAUACCCUAGUAGUC